Molecule: long non-coding RNA, 1047 nt
Organism: Humulus lupulus (European hop)
Lineage: Eukaryota; Viridiplantae; Streptophyta; Magnoliopsida; Rosales; Cannabaceae
Exons: 2
Source: RefSeq, a predicted model, not a curated record
UAUUUAUAUAAAUAUAUUAAUAUUUUUAUUAUAAAAAAGUCAUAAAUAUUAAAAAAAAAUUACAUUUAAGCUCCCCUAAAAUUAAAAAAAAUUCAAUUUUAAGAAAAAUUACACUAAAACCUCUUAAAUUACAAAGAAACUCUCCAAAUUUAUAAAAAUAUUUCAUUUUAGUCCCCUAAAUUUAAGAAAAUUUGCAUUUAAUUCCCUUAAAAUUACAAAAAAAUCUCCAAAUAUUUAAAAAAAUACAUUUAUUCCCCUCUAAAAUUAUAAAAAUAAAAUAAAAAUUUAGCUCCCUCUCACCCAAAAGUUUGGUUUCGGCCCUUCUUUUAGAUAUGGUUAUCAUAUUACUAUAAUUUAUUUGCCCAUAUUUUUUUUAAUAUAGGAAAACUACUUUGGGAUUUUUCAAGUAUUUAUAACAAUUAUUUCAUUACAGUGGUGCUCAUUAAUCGGUCGCAGCUACUGUUGACACCAUGGGGUGUCCCGUCUUCUCUGAGCGAGAGGGGAGGUAGCGUCAGAUCUAAAGCUCGCCGGUUGGGGAAAGUCAAACUUUAGGCCUAGAAUGGAUUGGGGAUCAAGGUUUUUCAGAUCUAAUGGCUUUACAGGUGCUUUGGGUUUUGUCCAAUACUUAGAUCUGGCGUGUGGGAGGGGAGGCGAUCCUAAUCUUCUGGCGAUUGGACCUGUGGCUUAGGGCGGAGACAUCAGCGACGCUUCAGACAGGGGGGUGACGGGGGUUAGCCUUGCUUAGGUCGGAGAGGAAGAGAUCGAUUUAGCGAAUUGGAUCCAUGACGAGUCCGCUAUUUUGAUUGAGGGGGAGUCUUUUCCAGUACUGGUGGGAGAAUGAGGAUCAAAGAAAAGGAAUGCUUCUAUGUUUAGACCUAUUACUUUUAUUUUUCUGUUGUUAUAUGUUCUGUGUAUUUUAAUUUUGUCAUUUUACCAUCAAGAGUCUUACCGACAGGGUUCAUGCCUUCCAUAAUGGUUCUUCCCUGUUUGAGGUCCGGUUAUAUUUGUUAGGAAUAUAUUUUAGAGAAUCAUAAAUAUUUUCGUGCA